This 66-nucleotide small nucleolar RNA is filed under the name Dasypus novemcinctus (nine-banded armadillo). Its description in RNAcentral is "Small nucleolar RNA SNORD104 (ENSDNOG00000027297.1)". It matches the Rfam family "Small nucleolar RNA SNORD104". Rfam says of the family: The members of this family belong to the C/D class of snoRNAs which contain the C (UGAUGA) and D (CUGA) box motifs. Most of the members of the box C/D family function in directing site-specific 2'-O-methylation of substrate RNAs. U104 (SNORD104) also known as Z12 is predicted to guide the 2'O-ribose methylation of C1327 of 28S rRNA. Lineage: Eukaryota; Metazoa; Chordata; Mammalia; Cingulata; Dasypodidae. The record is from RNAcentral.
AUUGUGAUGACAUCCCAGUUAAAGCAAAUGUUAGAUUGCUGAUGCGGGUAAUGUGGAAAAAAAAAU